Molecule: long non-coding RNA, 449 nt
Organism: Esox lucius (northern pike)
Lineage: Eukaryota; Metazoa; Chordata; Actinopteri; Esociformes; Esocidae
Exons: 3
Source: RefSeq, a predicted model, not a curated record
GUUGUGCAGGUCUGUGUUUCUGUAAGGUUUUAGGCUUUUUGGUGAAACUUUUUGUUGUCUUAUUUUUUUUAAAUAAAAUGUAGCCAUAGUAUAACUGUAAUUGCUGUUUUUUAUUACUUGACAUUAUUUAUUAUUUGGGGAUAAAUGUGAUGAUUGUUCGAUUCAAGGAACAAGUGCACGGGAAAGCACUGUCACUGUGGAACUUGAACUUGCACGACGUUCUGUCAACGGAGACGGUAAUAGUGGAUCAAGACUUGGGAGAGGUCAAGAGGUGGAGUCACAUAGUUGGCAGCGGCCUUGUCAGAUUCAGAGGUCAAGGGCUUGUCUGGAGACGGUACAUGCCCUAAGUGGAAGCGAUGACACUCUCUACCUGCAGGACCACCUGGACCAAAGUACCUCUUAGGUGGCUUGUGAUGAUGGUCGUUGCUCUACAGACCGUUAUGGGGGUG